UACGUAGGGGGCAAGCGUUGUCCGGAUUUAUUGGGCGUAAAGAGCGUGUAGGCGGCCAUGCAGGUCAGCUGUGAAAACUCGAGGCUCAACCUCGAGACGUCGGUUGAAACCGUAUGGCUAGAGUCCGGAAGAGGAGAAUGGAAUUCCCGGUGUAGCGGUGAAAUGCGCAGAUAUCGGGAAGAACACCCGUGGCGAAGGCGGUUCUCUGGGACGGUACUGACGCUGAGACGCGAAAGCGUGGGGAGCGAACAGG
This 253-nucleotide ribosomal RNA is filed under the name uncultured bacterium. RNAcentral's name for it is "partial 16S ribosomal RNA". It matches the Rfam family "Bacterial small subunit ribosomal RNA", at positions 524 to 776 of the family's 1533-position model. The record is from RNAcentral.